This is a long non-coding RNA of Astyanax mexicanus (Mexican tetra), 454 nucleotides long. RefSeq lists it as uncharacterized. Lineage: Eukaryota; Metazoa; Chordata; Actinopteri; Characiformes; Acestrorhamphidae. The transcript is spliced from 3 exons. The record is from RefSeq and is a predicted model, not a curated record.
GUGUUUCUGUAAAAAGAUGCAGACAGUAGGUAUAUAGAGUGAGACAGGGUUAAGGACUUUGAAAUAAACAGUAUUGGGCAUUUAUUCAUCCAUUAUUCAUUCAUUAACAUAUUUUUUUAAUAUAUAUUUCUUCCUGGUCAGGUUCACAGUCGGUCUGGGUUUUCCCAGAAUCACUGAACACAAGGCAGAAAGAGCUCCUGGAGUGGCCGCCAGUCAGAAAUGGGGUGAUGCUUUCUUUCCAGAAUUUGCUGCAGAAUUUGGACCAGUGCUUCCCUGCUACUGUGCCAUUCCCUGCAGCACAAGCAUGAUCCAUCCACUCACAUGUUUAACAGUUGGAGAGAUGAACGUGUUGCUGAAGCUGUACCUCAGUGUAGACUAUAGCGGUCAUCCAGAAGCGUUUGCUGGGCCGGGGCACGGACAGCAUGGCCCACAGGAAGAUGAGGAUGGGCAGGAC